UACGGAGGGUGCAAGCGUUGUCCGGAUUUAUUGGGUUUAAAGGGUGCGUAGGCGGCCUAUUAAGUCAGUGUUUAAAGUCAACAGCUUAACUGUUGGAAUGGCAUUGAUACUGAUAGGCUUGAGUAAAGUUGAGGUAGGCGGAAUUGAUGGUGUAGCGGUGAAAUGCUUAGAUAUCAUCAAGAACAUCGAUUGCGAAGGCAGCUUACUAAGCUUUAACUGACGCUGAGGCACGAAAGCGUGGGGAUCAAACAGG
Molecule: ribosomal RNA, 253 nt
Filed under: uncultured bacterium
Lineage: Bacteria
Description: partial 16S ribosomal RNA
Rfam family: Bacterial small subunit ribosomal RNA
Source: RNAcentral